This is a long non-coding RNA of Monodelphis domestica (gray short-tailed opossum), 2181 nucleotides long. NCBI's taxonomy places the organism in Eukaryota, Metazoa, Chordata, Mammalia, Didelphimorphia, Didelphidae. The record is from Ensembl.
GUGUCCCAACACAUCCCAAGACCAUCUCAUGACCAGUGUUCCUGACCUCUUUCUUCAUGGCCAAAUCUCUUCUCCUUGGAAAGGUUGGAGCUCUUUUAUACCUAGGUUGUUUGUCCUCCCCAACCCCAUAUUUUUUAGACUAUUUUAAAACCACUAGCAUCCUCCCCAAAGUAGAUACCACCCUUGGAAAAAUGGCGUGCUCUCUGUGCUUAGGCCAAUUAAUAGAGCCCCAUCCCACCCUUCCUUCCUUCCUUCCUUCCUUCCUUCCUUCCUUCCUUCCUUCCUUCCUUCCUUCCUUCCUUCCUUCCUUCCUUCCUUCCUUCCUUCCUUCCUUCCUUCCUUCCUUCCUUCCUUCCUUCCUUCCUUCCUUUCCUCUUUUCUUCCUUCCUUCCUUUCCCAGGGUAACUUAGUCUUAUUCCUGGGGAAAGUAUUUAAUAUGCGAAGAGAAAUCUUUUAGGAUCAUUGUGGGAAAUUAGCCAAUCAAAGACUAGAUUGAACAUAGUGGUCCCUUUCUUGUGUCUUUCAGCCUGUAAAUAGUUAGAGAAUCUCUGAGUCACAUCCUUUGCUCCCCUCUUUUCCUAUGGCAGAUCUAGUCAAGACUUGGGAAUGCCACCUUUGCAGCUAACUGCUGCCUUCUCUUUUUUCCUGAGGCUUGUCUGUGGGAGUUGAAGAGAAGCAGCAGCUCUGGUUUGCUUUCCUUUAUCUGUCUGCUUGGAGAGAGUUGGAGGGUCCUGCUCCUGGAUAACUUCAUGGAAGCUUCCCUGCCGUUUGACAACUUGGCCAAGCUUUUUCACCCCCAUGGACUUUGCAUUCCAACAACGCUGCCCUCCCAGUUCUUGCUUCAACAAGAUGUUCCAUCUUCUGCCUUCAGCCAUUUUCAUGGAUCGUCACUGUGCCGAGAAUUCUUUCCCAUCUUCGUGCCUCCUGGUUGGCCUGGCUUCCUUCAAGGCUCGGAUAAGGUCCUACCUUCUACAGGAAGCCUUUCCCAGUCUGGCUUCAUCUUAGUGCCUUCCCUUUGGAAUGAUCUCCAAGUGCUACCACCCACAUCUUAUUUGUACAUAGUUGCUGGCAUGUUUUUUCUUCCAUUCAUCUGGGGUGCCUUUCUUUGUAUGACCAGAGCUCACUGCAAGAUCUGGCAUAUGGUAGACACAUCAUCAGUCCUUGUGGAUUUGACUCGGUGACUUGAAACUCAUGAAAUUUGAGUUCGACGGGACCUCAGCAGGAGUCUUCUCCAAGUCCAGUGGUUCUUAGUUGUGUGUGUGUGUGUGUGUGUGUGUGUGUGUGUGUGUGUGUGUGUGACCAUCCCCUUCUUCCCUUUGGGUGUAUCCAGGCCUUUCAGAGAACCCCAGAGGAGAGACCAGGUGAUUCUGAUUCUGAGGGGGAAGAACUAGUCACUGUGGGCUUCAGGAGGAGGUGGUGCUUGAUGCGUGGUGACAUACAGAUGCCCGUGUGUGUGUGUGUGUGUGUGUGUGUGUGUGUGUGUGUGUGUGUGUGUGUAUGAUUUGGGAGGAAAUCAGCUGAUUUCCACAGGAGUCUGAGACAGAUGAGAAGAUCCCCAGCUGUUUCAGAGAGGGAAAGGCCAGGCUGGAAUGACUGGAAAGCCACAAAUGCCACAAAUGAAAAGCAUCCUGCCAUUUCUUUGUGGUAAUUGUUCUUUGUGCCAUGAUUGCAUCUGAAUCUAUUCCAGCCUGUUUAGCUGAGCCCCUGACACCUUGUGUGGAUUUAGAUGCUGAAUGAACUUGAUAUUUCUCAGGCGUACAAACUGCUGCAAGUCCACAGAAAACAGCCUUUCUCUUCCUUGAAUUAAACCUCGAGGAGGGUGAGGAGAGCUAGGAAGUGACUCAGGGAAGAACACUUGGGGUGUCGAGGCUUCAAGGCAAAAAUGGGGCCAUUCAUGUCUUCCUUUGAAUGAAACCUGGGCUUGAGGCUGACCCGGAACUCAAGCCCAUUCACUGUCCUGGAUACCCUCCUCUGGACACGAUCCCAUUGAUCUGCCAUCUUCCUAGGUCUGGGUGCCCAACAGAACAGAAGCUGGAGGCUGCAUGGAAGACCUCCCCGCCAUGCACUGGCUUUAUUUGAUUUGUACCUUUGCUCCUCGGAUGCCACACGGUUUCCUCUUCAUGAGCUCGAUGUGCACUAAAUGUCCCAGAUCUUUUCUUGUCCCCGUAAUUGCGGCUUUUC